Molecule: ribosomal RNA, 502 nt
Filed under: uncultured bacterium
Lineage: Bacteria
Description: partial 16S ribosomal RNA
Rfam family: Bacterial small subunit ribosomal RNA
Source: RNAcentral
AGCGAACGCUGGCGGCGUGCCUAACACAUGCAAGUCGAACGUGAAAGGGAGCAAUCCCAAGUAAAGUGGCGUACGGGUGAGUAACACGUAGGUAAUCUACCCCAGAAUCUGGAAUAACCGGCCGAAAGGCUGGCUAAUACUGGAUAGAGCGACGGAAUCCGUAAUUGGGUUUUUCGGGAAAGGGAGCCUGUAAAAAGGCCUUCGUUCUGGGAUGAGCCUGCGUCCCAUCAGCUAGUUGGUGAGGUAAAAGCUUACCAAGGCAAUGACGGGUAGCUGGUCUGAGAGGACGAUCAGCCAAACUGGAACUGAAACACGGUCCAGACUCCUACGGGAGGCAGCAGUGGGGAAUCUUGCGCAAUGGACGAAAGUCUGACGCAGCAACGCCGCGUGAGUGAAGAAGGCCUUCGGGUUGUAAAGCUCUGUCGAGUGGGACGAAAAUGCUUGGAGUUCACAGCUCCAGGAACUGACGGUACCACUAAAGGAAGCACCGGCUAACUCCGUG